RNAcentral lists this microRNA precursor (60 nucleotides) under Ornithorhynchus anatinus (platypus). Its description in RNAcentral is "Oan-Mir-10-P2b_pre stem-loop". Lineage: Eukaryota; Metazoa; Chordata; Mammalia; Monotremata; Ornithorhynchidae. The record is from RNAcentral.
CACCCGUAGAUCCGAACUUGCGGGGCGACGGCCGCACACAAGCUCGCGUCUGUGGGUCUG